GAUGAACGCUGGCGGCGUGCCUAAUACAUGCAAGUCGAGCGAACAGACGAGGAGCUUGCUCCUCUGACGUUAGCGGCGGACGGGUGAGUAACACGUGGAUAACCUACCUAUAAGACUGGGAUAACUUCGGGAAACCGGAGCUAAUACCGGAUAAUAUAUUGAACCGCAUGGUUCAAUAGUGAAAGACGGUUUUGCUGUCACUUAUAGAUGGAUCCGCGCCGCAUUAGCUAGUUGGUAAGGUAACGGCUUACCAAGGCGACGAUGCGUAGCCGACCUGAGCGGGAGGUCGGCCACACUGGAACUGAGACACGGUCCAGACUCCUACGGGAGGCAGCAGUAGGGAAUCUUCCGCGAUGGGCGAAAGCCUGACGGAGCAACGCCGCGUGAGUGAUGAAGGUCUUCGGAUCGUAAAGCUCUGUUAUUAGGGAAGAACAAAUGUGUAAGUAACUAUGCACGUCUUGACGGUACCUAAUCAGAAAGCCACGGCUAACUACGUG
This 497-nucleotide ribosomal RNA is filed under the name uncultured bacterium. RNAcentral's name for it is "partial 16S ribosomal RNA". It matches the Rfam family "Bacterial small subunit ribosomal RNA", at positions 28 to 507 of the family's 1533-position model. The record is from RNAcentral.